RNAcentral lists this ribosomal RNA (492 nucleotides) under uncultured bacterium. RNAcentral's name for it is "partial 16S ribosomal RNA". It matches the Rfam family "Bacterial small subunit ribosomal RNA", at positions 29 to 507 of the family's 1533-position model. The record is from RNAcentral.
AGUGAACGCUGGCGGUAGGCCUAACACAUGCAAGUCGAACGGCAGCACAGUAAGAGCUUGCUCUUACGGGUGGCGAGUGGCGGACGGGUGAGGAAUACAUCGGAAUCUACUUUUUCGUGGGGGAUAACGUAGGGAAACUUACGCUAAUACCGCAUACGACCUACGGGUGAAAGCAGGGGAUCUUCGGACCUUGCGCGAUUGAAUGAGCCGAUGUCGGAUUAGCUAGUUGGCGGGGUAAAGGCCCACCAAGGCGACGAUCCGUAGCUGGUCUGAGAGGAUGAUCAGCCACACUGGAACUGAGACACGGUCCAGACUCCUACGGGAGGACGCAGUGGGGAAUAUUGGACAAUGGGGGCAAGCCUGAUCCAGCAAUACCGCGUGGGUGAAGAAGGCCUUAGGGUUGUAAAGCCCUUUUGUUGGGAAAGAAAAGCAGCAGGUUAAUACCCCGCUGUUCUGACGGUACCCAAAGAAUAAGCACCGGCUAACUUCGUG